RNAcentral lists this ribosomal RNA (408 nucleotides) under uncultured bacterium. RNAcentral describes it as "bacterial LSU rRNA". It matches the Rfam family "Bacterial large subunit ribosomal RNA", at positions 771 to 1173 of the family's 2925-position model. The record is from RNAcentral.
GGUCCGAACCCACUAGUGUUAGAAAACUAGGGGAUGAGCUGUGGAUAGGGGUAGAAAGGACUAAACAAAUACCGGAAAUAGCUGGUUCUCCCCGAAAACUAUUUAGGUAGUGCGUCAUGUAUCACUUGCGGGGGUAAAGCACUGUUAUGGCUAGGGGGUCAUCGCGACUUACCAAACCAUGGCAAACUCUGAAUACCGCAAAGUGCGAGCAUGGCAGACAGACAGUGGGUGCUAACGUUCAUUGUCGAGAGGGAAACAACCCAGACCGCCAGCUAAGGUCCCAAAGACACAGUUAAGUGGGAAAACGAAGUGGGAAGGCAUAGACAGCUAGGAGGUUGGCUUAGAAGCAGCCACCCUUUAAAGAAAGCGUAAUAGCUCACUAGUCGAGUCGUCCUGCGCGGAAGAUGU